UGUCUAUUUAGAUCUUGCCACAGACCAUUUUCUUGCUGCUGAAUGACCUUCUCUCUUGUUCCUACAUGUUUUUUUGUCUUUGUUUUUGGGUUGUAGACUCUUUUUUUUUUUUUGGAUAUUACUCUUCUUUCCUGUUUUGGGUUACAGCACUUCCUUUGUAGCCUUGUCUGGUUUUGGCUUGAACUUUCUUUUUCUUUCAGGCUUAACAAAAUUGCAGUUUUGUUUUCAUUUUAUUCUCAAGCAUGAGUUUUGGGAUUGCAUUGGGUAUGAUUCCAUGAAAAUCUCAACCCUACUCUCAAUAGAAGAUCCAGAUAAUUACUCCUUUAGCACUAAAUUACUCAUACAGUUGCCCAUGCUAAUUAAUGCUCUAUUAUUUAUUAAAAGCAGGGGUUUUCACGUCAACAAUUUAUGAUGAGGAUUGUAUCUUUGAAGAUCCAACCAUUAAAUUCCAAGGUACCAAGUUGUAUUCACGCAAUUUGAACUUACUGGUUCCUUUCUUCGAUUGUCCAUCAAUUGGAUUACAAGACAUUGAGAAGGUUAUUCAAGUCAAUCCUGAUAUAUUUGACAGUGAGAACUAUUUUAGGAAACACAUAUUUAAAUCAUCACCCCAGCUUAUAGUCCAAACAGCAUAGUUUGGGAACUUUGGUGUAGUGAUUGAGAACUGGCUGGAUAAAGCUGUUUUUAUUUAAUAACUUCUCUUUCCUGUAUAGAAUGUCAAGUUCUUUGAUCAAUUGCCCAAACUCAACAUACUACUUUGAAAUCUGUCAUAAAGUUCGUGUUUUUGCCUCAAGUGUUUCAGUGCUUGCUUCAAAGGAAAUUUUAUUAGCUGGGGGUUUUGUACCAAAACAAGAAUAUACCCCCUUGGUUUCACUCCCUUAAGCCGAAUUAAAUAUAUCUUUAAUUGUUAA
Long non-coding RNA from Populus nigra (black poplar), 908 nucleotides. RefSeq lists it as uncharacterized. The transcript is spliced from 3 exons. The record is from RefSeq and is a predicted model, not a curated record. Lineage: Eukaryota; Viridiplantae; Streptophyta; Magnoliopsida; Malpighiales; Salicaceae.